RNAcentral lists this transfer RNA (48 nucleotides) under Riccardia gasparii. RNAcentral's name for it is "Riccardia sp. CR-2017a partial tRNA-Leu". Lineage: Eukaryota; Viridiplantae; Streptophyta; Jungermanniopsida; Metzgeriales; Aneuraceae. The record is from RNAcentral.
ANAAAAUUCGUGGGCUUUAUAGACCGGGAGGGUUCAAGNCCCUCUACC